This 423-nucleotide long non-coding RNA is filed under the name Mytilus galloprovincialis (Mediterranean mussel). The record is from RNAcentral. Lineage: Eukaryota; Metazoa; Mollusca; Bivalvia; Mytilida; Mytilidae.
GUUGGAUUUGUGUGAAUAGAUGUCUCAUAUGAAUCCCAAAAGGAUUGCCAAUCUAAAAUAUUCCCUUUAAAAGUAGGCAAGUUCAACUUUGGUAAUUUGUGGUACUGAUUAUUUGUGCUAGAAGACGAAUGUAAACUUGGAAUAUGCAUAGACGGGUUCGUAGUAGGAAUAAUCUCUGAUAUAGCGGGGUUACUUGUAUAAAACGAGGCUGCAUUCGAUUGUACAUGAGAUGUCGACGUGAAACAAUUGGCGUGCGGGUUCAAUUGAGAAGAGUCGCUUGCGGGUACACUAUUUGCUGUAGGUGAAAUCAAGGUAUGCAUGGGUGUAUCAGAGGGAGUAACGUUACUAGCUUGAAAAACGGUAGUAUUGACGGGUAAAUUAUGACUUUUCGACUGGGAGGGAUUAAUGAGUUUUCUAAUUUGA